UGACAUACAGUUAGAGUAUCA
This 21-nucleotide non-coding RNA is filed under the name Caenorhabditis elegans. The record is from RNAcentral. Lineage: Eukaryota; Metazoa; Nematoda; Chromadorea; Rhabditida; Rhabditidae.